UACCAGCACCCCGAGUGGUCGGGACGUUUUAUUGGGCCUAAAGCAUCCGUAGCCGGUUCUACAAGUCUUCCGUUAAAUCCAGCUGCUUAACAGAUGGGCUGCGGAAGAUACUAUGGAGCUAGGAGGCGGGAGAGGCAAGCGGUACUCGAUGGGUAGGGGUAAAAUCCGUUGAUCCAUUGAAGACCACCAGUGGCGAAGGCGGCUUGCCAGAACGCGCUCGACGGUGAGGGAUA
Molecule: ribosomal RNA, 233 nt
Filed under: uncultured bacterium
Lineage: Bacteria
Description: partial 16S ribosomal RNA
Rfam family: Archaeal small subunit ribosomal RNA
Source: RNAcentral